RNAcentral lists this ribosomal RNA (253 nucleotides) under uncultured bacterium. RNAcentral's name for it is "partial 16S ribosomal RNA". It matches the Rfam family "Bacterial small subunit ribosomal RNA", at positions 524 to 776 of the family's 1533-position model. The record is from RNAcentral.
UACGUAGGUGGCGAGCGUUGUCCGGAUUUACUGGGCGUAAAGGGCGCGCAGGCGGUCGUACAAGUCGCGUGUGAAAGCCCCCGGCUCAACUGGGGAGGGUCACGCGAUACUGUUCGACUCGAAGGCAGGAGAGGGUAGUGGAAUUCCCGGUGUAGUGGUGAAAUGCGUAGAUAUCGGGAGGAACACCAGUGGCGAAGGCGACUACCUGGCCUGUUCUUGACGCUGAGGCGCGAAAGCUAGGGUAGCAAACGGG